This 449-nucleotide ribosomal RNA is filed under the name uncultured bacterium. Its description in RNAcentral is "partial 16S ribosomal RNA". It matches the Rfam family "Bacterial small subunit ribosomal RNA", at positions 29 to 523 of the family's 1533-position model. The record is from RNAcentral.
AAUGAACGCUGGCGGCAGGCCUAACACAUGCAAGUCGAACGGAUCCUUCGGGAUUAGUGGCGGACGGGUGAGUAACGCGUGGGAACAUACCCAAAGGUACGGAAUAGCCUCGGGAAACUGGGAGUAAUACCGUAUGUGCUCGAAAGAGGAAAGAUUUAUCGCCUUUGGAUUGGCCCGCGUUGGAUUAGGCAGUUGGUGGGGUAAUGGCCUACCAAGCCGACGAUCCAUAGCUGGUUUGAGAGGAUGAUCAGCCACACUGGGACUGAGACACGGCCAAGACGCCUGCGGGAGGAAGCAGGGGGAAAUUUAAGACAAUGGGGGAAACCCUGAUCUGGCCAUGCGGGGUGAUCGAUGAAGGCCUUAGGGUUGAAAAGAUCUUUCAGGUGGAAAGAUAAUGACUGUACCACCAGAAGAAGCCCCGGCUACCUCCGUGCCAGCCGCCGCAGUAA